CCUCGAGGCUUCAGCACCCUCUAUUUUUCCAUGGUAAAAACUUCGUGGCAUUCAACCCCCUUCUUCCCAUCAGCACUUCUCCAUACCGAAUUGUAAUUAACGACAUGAGAAAGCAGCACUCAAGAAAUAAUGGAUCGCGUCGAUGGAGAAAUUUAAUGAAUAUUAUCAACUUUUGAAUGAACCUGUACACCUAUAGGAGACAACCUUACUGCUAAUAUUCUCAAGUGAAUAUCCACCCUGAUGUACAAGUAAUUAUGCGGUUCCUUGUCGAUGCAAUAGCCAACCACCUGAUACGCAUCCAUGUAGCAGCAUCCAUGGAGCUAUGAAAUUUCUGUACAGUCAAGCACAUGCACAUUAUACAUCCUCAUGUAUAAAAUACAGUUAGAGCCGUAGGCGACAAUCUACCCUUACGUAUCGUGAUGCUUACCUAUUAGGAUACAUUACAUUCUGCGUGGUAAGGGCGAAAAAAGAGAGGGAAGAAUAGAACAGAAAAAAAGAAGAACAGCGAUAAGGUCAUCUAUCGCAAAUCGAAUCUCAGUGACUCCUAUCGCACCACUCUCCCUCAAGAAGAGAAAAAACGAUUGUUGAUAUCGACUACGUCUGUUUAUUGGAAGAUUUUAUGUU
Molecule: long non-coding RNA, 624 nt
Organism: Cephus cinctus (wheat stem sawfly)
Lineage: Eukaryota; Metazoa; Arthropoda; Insecta; Hymenoptera; Cephidae
Exons: 3
Source: RefSeq, a predicted model, not a curated record